Molecule: ribosomal RNA, 114 nt
Filed under: Escherichia coli
Lineage: Bacteria; Pseudomonadati; Pseudomonadota; Gammaproteobacteria; Enterobacterales; Enterobacteriaceae
Also listed under: 4 other names
Source: RNAcentral
UCUGGUGAUGAUGGCGAAGUGGACACACCUGUUCUCAUCCCGAACACAGAAGUUAAGCACUUCAGCGGCGACAAUAUCCAGACGUGCUCUGGUGAAGAUAGCACGUCGCCAGUU